Small nucleolar RNA from Engraulis encrasicolus (European anchovy), 79 nucleotides. The record is from RefSeq and is a predicted model, not a curated record. NCBI's taxonomy places the organism in Eukaryota, Metazoa, Chordata, Actinopteri, Clupeiformes, Engraulidae.
ACUGUCGGUGAUGUUUCAUUUACCCACCUUGUUUGAGUUCACCAUGAGAAAACUCUCAUGCACUACCAUCUGAGACCGU